AGAAGACACAAGAACAGACAGAAAUUGGAGGAGAUACAGGAAGAUACAACAGAUGUCACUACUGGUUAUUUAUCUCAAGAUUUUGGCUUUGACAAGAAAGAGUAUUCCACCGUUGAUGAUGGGGAUGCGCCAAAAAGCAAUGAAGUUACAUCGGUUAUUGAUGCCACAGUUUCAGAACAUGAAAUUGAUGCUGAGGCCAAAGGAUUGAAACUUUUACACAACUUCGAAGAGAUGGAGCCUCAAAGUAAAAAGGCUCGGAUCAUUAUACCAGAUAGUGAUGAGGAGGAUCUUCCUGGGAAAAUGUUGUCUCCUACAUGUAGUUUGAGCGAGACAGAAGAUCAAUCAAAUCCACAAAGAGAUGGAGAUAAUGUGCUUCCAGUUAGUUCCCUUCCUGUAUGCAAUGAGAAGCAAAAUUUUCGCUGCACUGCUUGUGAUAAAGUGGCUAUUGAAGUCCAUGCACAUCCUCUUUUGAGAGUUGUCCUUUGCCUGGACUGCAAAACUUCAAUGAAAACAAAGAUGCAGG
Molecule: unclassified non-coding RNA, 523 nt
Filed under: Hevea brasiliensis (rubber tree)
Lineage: Eukaryota; Viridiplantae; Streptophyta; Magnoliopsida; Malpighiales; Euphorbiaceae
Source: RNAcentral